UCCUGGCUCAGAUUGAACGCUGGCGGCAUGCUUUACACAUGCAAGUCGAACGGCAGCACGGGGGCAACCCUGGUGGCGAGUGGCGAACGGGUGAGUAAUAUAUCGGAACGUACCCGGAAAUGGGGGAUAACGCAGCGAAAGUUGCGCUAAUACCGCAUAUGCCCUGAGGGGAAAGCGGGGGAUCCGCAAGGACCUCGCGUUUUCGGAGCGGCCGAUAUCGGAUUAGCUAGUAGGUGGGGUAAAAGGCCUACCUAGGCGACGAUCCGUAGCUGGUCUGAGAGGACGACCAGCCACACUGGAACUGAGACACGGUCCAGACUCCUACGGGAGGCAGCAGUGGGGAAUUUUGGACAAUGGGCGAAAGCCUGAUCCAGCCAUGCCGCGUGAGUGAAGAAGGCCUUCGGGUUGUAAAGCUCUUUCAGCCGGAAAGAAAGCGCAUGGGUGAAUAACCUGUGUGGAUGACGGUACCGGAAGAAGAAGCACCGGCUAACUACGUGCCAGCAGCCGCGGUAAUACGUAG
This 520-nucleotide ribosomal RNA is filed under the name uncultured bacterium. RNAcentral describes it as "bacterial SSU rRNA". It matches the Rfam family "Bacterial small subunit ribosomal RNA", at positions 17 to 530 of the family's 1533-position model. The record is from RNAcentral.